UACAGAGGGAGCUAGCGUUGUUCGGAAAUACUGGGCGUAAAGCGCACGUAGGCGGCGCAGCAAGUCAGGGGUGAAAUCCCGGGGCUCAACCCCGGAACUGCCCUUGAAACUGCAGUGCUAGAAUUCUGGAGAGGCGAGUGGAAUUCCGAGUGUAGAGGUGAAAUUCGUAGAUAUUCGCAAGAACACCAGUGGCGAAGGCGGCUCACUGGCCCGUUACUGACGCUGAGGCACGAAAGCGUGGGGAGCAAACAGG
RNAcentral lists this ribosomal RNA (253 nucleotides) under uncultured bacterium. RNAcentral's name for it is "partial 16S ribosomal RNA". It matches the Rfam family "Bacterial small subunit ribosomal RNA", at positions 524 to 776 of the family's 1533-position model. The record is from RNAcentral.